RNAcentral lists this long non-coding RNA (1131 nucleotides) under Oryctolagus cuniculus (rabbit). RNAcentral describes it as "lncRNA (ENSOCUG00000032775.1)". Lineage: Eukaryota; Metazoa; Chordata; Mammalia; Lagomorpha; Leporidae. The record is from RNAcentral.
AUGUGGACACUGAGGCCAUCGACCUGUGAGUGCCAGGCUGGGAAGGGAGGCAGGGCUUUGGCACUCAGCACGCGAGCUUGCGGACUGAGGAGCAUCCGGACCGCGGGGCCUGAGCCCGUGAACUGGCCGGGGGCUCAGCUGCUGCUGCUGCUCCUGGCCCUGCCCACCAGCCUGACAGCACACAGGGAGCCGGCCUGGGGGAAGCCGCGGGGCCUUUGCCCAGGGUGCAGGAGCACAGCGAGGCGCCCCGUUCUCGUGGGGGUAGCCACAGCCCGCUCCUGGCAGCCGCAGAGUGGGGGACCCGUGGCCGCGUCUGCAGGGACAGCGGUGAGCCCCAGGGUGGGCAGAGUCUGGUGUCUGAGCACCAGCCGGUUCAUCGGCCGCUAUUGGAGGUGGCUGGGCUGCCAGGGUCUCUCCCCAGUCCCCCUCCAACUUCCUUCCAACCAGAGGUGCUUCUGCUGUUUCCCCAAAUGUCCGUAUGCGCCAGCGCCCCUCGAAUGCCCUCUUCCCUUUCUGCCCAUCCCAGCCCCCAGGGCCUUGCUCUUUCUCCAGGAGGCCUGCCAGGCCCAUCCUGAGCUCACGCGGCUUCCUCCAGGAAGCCCCUGGGGACCCCACCCCGAGGACCCUUGCCCUCUUGGGUUCCCAGGAGCCAGGGCUGGGUGUCUGGCCCGGUCCUCCCUCCCCAGCAGCCUCAGCCCCGCCCGCUCACGCCGGCCUCUCGGCCCCCACCCCAGCAACUCCCGGAACACAGGAUGUUCUCAGCUGAGGACACCUUGCAGCCCCGAGCUCAGCCUCGCCUCACCACGCCCCAGUCCCAAAGCAGGUUUCCCUGUGCAGGGGCCCCGGGCGAGCCCGCGUGGAGACUGGGCAGGGCUGCGGCCGCUCUUCAGGAAAGCGAGGGCCGGGCGUUCCCAGGCGGCGCUCCUACUGGGAUUGUGCUGGGCUUGUGGAAAGCAGCCGGGGAGGACUCGCCCCGAGCCCCUCCCUGCCCGCCCGGCCCUGCCGGGUCCCAGGGCAUGGGUGCAGCUGGGUGAGGAAACGGGAGAAGCCGCAUCACUGCUGCCUGGAGGCGAGGACUCGACCCAGGGACCCCUCUCGCCACCACGGCCACCUGCUCAGGCCCAGGGGUGA